CCACAUCCUUAUCUUUUUCUUGUUCUCUUCAUGCACCUACAGAGCACGAGAUGAGCGUGCUUCUCCUCACGUCAUACUCCACCACCAAGCCAACCACUCCACCUUUCCCCUCUAUAAUUCCUACAGCAAAACCUAAUUCCUCUUCUUCCCCACCUUGCGCCGCCGUUUCCCAUCUUCCUCUUGUCCACGCAAAACAUCAGGUAGAGGAGGUUCAGGAACUUCACAAAAUUCAGAGAACCACCGAGAAAUUUUGCCAAAGAAGUCCCAUCAGCGCUCCUGUUCUUUGCUGCUAUCUGCCAUGCUGAGCAUGGGGAUGGAAACCUCGUGACCUCAGCUUCCUCCUCACCCAGUUCACGGAGCCGGAGCAGUUCCGGGACAUCUUCCCCGUCCUCGACUCCGUCGCGCGCCUACACGUACAACGUCCUCGUCAUGCGUCCGCGACGGUGACCACCGCGGCCAUCUCCUUCCUAGGCGUCUUCACGCGUCGCCGAGCCGAGCCCUUCGCCAACAACCCCGACGUAUGAAGAUAUGUUCAAGAUGACGACGUUAGCAAGGUUACCCUUCCGGCUUGGCCUGGGCAGGGUUAUGGACGCCACUGGUUAUCUUCAGGACUCUUAGUCCAAGUUGUAUCUUGUCCGUACUCGGACGUAUUCGAUCUUCUGUAUGAUUUGGAUCUUUGUAUUGUAUAUUUGUAUCUUGACUCGUUGGAGUCGUUGUUGUAAUAUAUGUAUCUUGUGGGCUAUAUUGUAAUCCUGUUGUAAUAUUACCGCUCGUGUUAAUUCAUCUGGCAUCACGUGUGUGAUUCGUCGCGCACGUCGUGUCGGAGGGCGUCUUCGAAUCGAUAUCGUGCGGAUUUCGGCGGGAUCGCUGGAAUCUUCAUGGUACCGGUUUCGGGGCGUCACAAGUUGGUAUCAGAGCUCAGGUUGACGGUACCCCACUAGUCCAGCCUGUAGGAUAACCUUGCCAACGGACGUUGUUGUGUCUAGUGUCAAAACCUAUUUUCUAAAAUUCGUUGUAUAGUUCUGAUUAGCUCUGAUUUUCUCCUUAUCUAUAUUCUUUCUCCUCUUACCUUUGCGAGUUUUGAGUCUUCUCUCUUAUCUGAGUUUCUCCGAGUCUUAGGUUCCGACGCGGGUUGGACGAUCUAUGCUUUUCUCCUAAUAGGUCCGAUCUCAGAAGUCUCCCAACAUAAGUGCAUCAUCAACAACGGAACAACGACUUCUUGUUAGUGGUGUCGCCGUUCUACGUGGAGCAAGAAUUCUUGUUAGUGGUGUCGAGAAGAUCAACACUUCGCCACAAGAAGGUCCCACGCCCAGGUCGGGUGAAGAUCAACGAUGCGCCAUAAGAUCCGAUAGUUCACCUCUCUCCCCCGUACCUUGAGGUGGGAUCUCGGGGCGCGAUCCCUUGUUAGUGGUGUCGUUUGUAACGGCCCAGGGUAACACCCAUAUUAGAAUUGCUUGUUCUUUUUCUUUUAUGCAUCAUGGCAUCAUGCAUCAUCACAUCCAUGUUUUUUUUGUUUUAAUAAAUAAAAAUUAUUUCAUAAACCCUAAACUAUUUUCUUUUUCCUCUCAUAUGGUUUCUAUAUUAAACCUCCUCUACUAUUCAUUUAACAAAACCUUAAAACAUAUAUUUAAAGUAUUGUAAAAUUCUUUUUAAAAUAAGAUUGAAGUUUCAAUUUAUCUUUCGCAAAAAUCCCUCCGCUCUUUUUGUUCCUGCUUCUUUCCCUCUCAUUUAUUUUCUUUCGGCAAAUGGAGAGAUUCACCACUUCUUGAAAAAUGGCCGCACCAAUCUCCUCAUAGCAGCCAUUCUUUAUUUCUUGGUAUCUUGCUUUGUGCCCUACAGGCAGCCCACAUCCUUAUCUUUUUCUUGUUCUCUUCGUGCACCUACAGAGCACGAGAUGAGCGUGCUUCUCCUCACGUCAUACUCCACCACCAAGCCAACCACUCCACCUUUCCCCUCUAUAAUUCCUACAGCAAAACCUAAUUCCUCUUCUUCCCCACCUUGCGCCGCCGUUUCCCAUCUUCCUCUUGUCCACGCAAAACAUCAGGUAGAGGAGGUUCAGGAACUUCACAAAAUUCAGAGAACCACCGUGAAAUUUUGCCAAAGAAGUCCCAUCAGCGCUGCUGUUUCUUGCUGCUAUCUGCCAUGCUGAGCAUGGGGAUGGAAACCUCGUGACCUCAGCUUCCUCCUCACCCAGUUCACGGAGCCGGAGCAGUUCCGGGACAUCUUCCCCGUCCUCGACUCCGUCGCGCGCCUACACGUACAACGUCCUCGUCAUGCGUCCGCGACGGUGACCACCGCGGCCAUCUCCUUCCCAGGCGUCUUCACGCGUCGCCGAGCCGAGCCCUUCGCCAACAACCCCGACCAUUUGCUUCUUCCCGGAUAUGAUCACGAAGUGGUGUGGUGAGAUACGACAAGUUCUCCGGAUGUUCCUCGGCAAGCUUUAACAG
Lolium perenne is the source of this 2447-nucleotide long non-coding RNA. RefSeq lists it as uncharacterized. NCBI's taxonomy places the organism in Eukaryota, Viridiplantae, Streptophyta, Magnoliopsida, Poales, Poaceae. The record is from RefSeq and is a predicted model, not a curated record.